This 279-nucleotide ribosomal RNA is filed under the name Triticum aestivum (bread wheat). RNAcentral's name for it is "partial small subunit ribosomal RNA". Lineage: Eukaryota; Viridiplantae; Streptophyta; Magnoliopsida; Poales; Poaceae. The record is from RNAcentral.
AUGGCGCUGCCGGCCCUCAAUCUCGCCGGAUCCGGCCGCCACCACGCCAAAUCCGCCGGAAAUGGAUCCAUCCCGGCCAUAUCCGCCCGGAUCCGCCCGGGCCUCCUGCCGUACGACGCCUCAUCCAGGAGUACAACAGCUGCCCCAUGGCAGCCAAGAUCCUCCAGAUCCUCUCCACCCAGCCGCCGUCAUUGCAGGAGGCUCACCAAAAAGCUUCCCCAAAUCCUACAAGAGGCUCAGGUUAGACGAGCCGCUGACAAAGACACAUCUCUAUUCUGA